RNAcentral lists this ribosomal RNA (253 nucleotides) under uncultured bacterium. Its description in RNAcentral is "partial 16S ribosomal RNA". It matches the Rfam family "Bacterial small subunit ribosomal RNA", at positions 524 to 776 of the family's 1533-position model. The record is from RNAcentral.
UACGUAGGCAGCGAGCGUUGUUCGGAGUUACUGGGCGUAAAGGGUGCGUAGGUGGUCGGGUAAGUCUGAGGUGAAAUCUCCGAGCUCAACUCGGAAACUGCCUUGGAUACUAUCCGGCUUGAGGGUUGGAGGGGGGACUGGAAUUCUCGGUGUAGCAGUGAAAUGCGUAGAUAUCGAGAGGAACACCAGUGGCGAAGGCGAGUCCCUGGACAACUCCUGACGCUGAGGCACGAAAGCUAGGGGAGCAAACAGG